This 460-nucleotide ribosomal RNA is filed under the name uncultured bacterium. RNAcentral's name for it is "partial 16S ribosomal RNA". It matches the Rfam family "Bacterial small subunit ribosomal RNA", at positions 338 to 795 of the family's 1533-position model. The record is from RNAcentral.
CCUACGGGUGGCAGCAGUGAGGAAUAUUGGUCAAUGGACGAGAGUCUGAACCAGCCAAGUAGCGUGAAGGAUGACUGCCCUAUGGGUUGUAAACUUCUUUUAUAUGGGAAUAAAAUGUUCCACGUGUGGGAUUUUGUAUGUACCAUAUGACUAAGGAUCGGCUAACUCCGUGCCAGCAGCCGCGGUAAUACGGAGGAUCCGAGCGUUAUCCGGAUUUAUUGGGUUUAAGGGGAGCGUAGGUGGAUUGUUAAGUCAGUUGUGAAAGUUUGCGGCUCAACCGUAAAAUUGCAGUUGAAACUGGCAGUCUUGAGUACAGUAGAGGUGGGCGGAAUUCGUGGUGUAGCGGUGAAAUGCUUAGAUAUCACGAAGAACUCCGAUUGCGAAGGCAGUUCACUGGACUGCAACUGACACUGAGGCUCGAAAGUGUGGGUAUCAAACAGGAUUAGAUACCCUUGUAGUC